Triticum urartu is the source of this 1923-nucleotide non-coding RNA. Lineage: Eukaryota; Viridiplantae; Streptophyta; Magnoliopsida; Poales; Poaceae. The record is from RefSeq and is a predicted model, not a curated record.
GCCCGUGUAGAAAAAAAAACCCACUCCCCGUCCACCACCUCCCCUGAUCCCCAACCUUCCCCCGAUCUCCCUCGUGCCAGGUGCCAGCGCCGUGCAUCUCUCCCCGCUCCUCGAUCUCCUAGCACCGCCGCUCCCCGCUUCCCCUGCCUCCCGGCGCUGCCGUGCCCACUUCCCCUGCCUCCUAGUGCCGCCGCUUCCCUCCACCCCGCUUCCUCUACCUCCAAGCGCCACUGCCCCAACCUCCGGCAUGCAACUAGGCUGCCUUCCGCCGCCUCCCCUUGCUCUGGCGUGCCUCCCAUCGCCAUGCCUCCGGCACGCCUCCCACCGCCGCACCCCCGGCCCCGGUGCGCUUCCCGCCAUCGCCUUCUCUCCAGCAGCCGCGGCCACCCGUGACCAGCGUCAGCACAACCAGCUACAAAUCCAGUGGGAUUCGCCCCCACUCCUGUCCAUAGUCGCGUGGCUCGCGGCAAAACAGGGCCGCCGAGGAGAACAUCUCCCGUCCGGCAAGGAGCAUCUCAAGGGCGUCCGACGAGGAGCAUCUCAGGGGCGAGGAACAUCUCCCACCUCCUCCCUAGUGCAGAGCUUUCAGUCCAGGCCCCCGCGGCAAAAAACGCAGUGUCCACUCCUAUGAAAAUGCUCCUCCAAUAUCUUCAGGCGGUGUGGGCAUCCGGUCAUAGAGAGAUGUGUGGAGCGCUGCAUUCCGCUUGUUGUUGACCUCGUGGCCGCAAACGCCGAGAUUAUUGUCGUGUGUGGACUGCAACGAUGACCGAAUCCGACCUUCACCAGCAUCAUCAUUCUUCCUUCUCCUGUUCACCAACGUGCACCACCCGUCAUGGGUUAAGACACUGCUCAGACACUUCGAGGUGCCAUCGAUGGAUGUCUUGUCAAAAAGAUUCGCUCUCUUCGGCUUUAUUGCUGGGUGGAGCAUCGCAACCUCUGCUGAGACUGGACCUACCUUCCAGCUUGCACUGGUACUCGUCUCAUGCAUAUACUUUCUCAACGACAAGAUGAAAGAACCUUGGCAGGGCGUCUGCUACAGGCAUGGAUAGAUUGUUUCAAGAGGAAUUUACUGCACUUUUAUUAUGAUUCAGAUUUCAGAAGUAAGCUAAAACAAUUUGGUUUGCAGCAGGUUCAGGCAAGUCUUUUGUGUUUGUUUCAAGGUUCAGAAGUAAGGAAGUACUAGCUAGUUUAAUGUAGUAGUUUUUCAGGGCUCAGAUUUUGACGCCUCUAAUGAUUUUUUUGUCUACUGCACACAGUUGAAUCUCCAAGUUAUAAGAUUCUGUCAGUGUUGAAGAUCAAGAUUACUUUCAAACUGCAACCAUCAUCUACUAUUUGGUUGUCCUUUCCAUUGCCCCUUGAGUAGCAUCGUCUGUUGUUUCUUUCACCAGCAGAGCACCACUCUCUCAUGAUGAAGUUUCCUAAUUGAGUCUCAAACUGCAGCAACCUAAUCUGGACUUGUUUUAGGAAUGACCGAUUAAUCGGUCCAAAUUCUAACUGUUGAUUAUCCACUGGGCGCCUUCACGGCGUGCUUCAGACUCCAAUCCAUCCUUGUUGUCCUUAGAGAGGAACACGUACAGGUCGUGGGUCGCUAGCAGGAGAUAAGAAUUAUAUGCAUCAGGUCACUUAGCUUCCUUUGCUUUGUGGGCAAAAGGUUAUCAAAGUUCUCGCAAUUUUUUUGGGUAAAAAGUAUAGAAAUUCAUGGAAGAUUGAUUUGUGUAUGCUUGUGAGUCUGAAACCUUUUUUAGUUGAUGUCAGCCAAAAAAAUGUGGAUAUGUUGUGCGUGUGUGUGUAGUACACCGAAUUGAAAAAUACUAUUUUCUGUCAUGUAGAUCAAAGAAAGAACAUAGAAAAUUUUAAAAUGUGGAUACACACAUUUUCUAUGUAUGAGCAAAAAACAAAGAAAAAUGCAUAAUUUCUCCUUUA